UGUCAUCUAGAUGCUAGACUCACCAGAUCACAAUCUCGAGUUUAUCCCCUACUGAGGAGUUGCCCAAAGUAUAGAAAAGAAAGGCUGAUUCUAAAGCACUCACCUGAAAACAGAUUGGAUUGCAUUAAAUAUAAGGGGACUUCUACAGGGAUUUUGGGGGAUUAAAGAGUAGGUGCAGUGUUUUGAUUCUUCAAACAUACUGGACUUAUUAGGAGAAUGUAGUAUCGGAAAGCCAAACUGAUCCACACUCAAGUCCAGAAGGUGUUGGCACUGCACCAACAAGCUGUUUGCCAACCGCUAUAAAAAAGAAGAAGAAGCCUUCUCUCCCCUACCAUGAGUUCUGCCUCAGCACUCCUGGUUUCUACUUGCCUCUCUCCUUGGCUCUUUUUCAUUUCCCUGCUACAGCACUACCAUGUGGGUUUUCUUGCCCACUUACCUGUGGUUACCUAUGGCUCAGAGACUCGGACUGUGUUGCCACCUUUUUCACUGUAUGUGCUUCUUGGGAGCGCUUUCCUGAUGGCUCUGCUUUGCCCCAACUUAUCUGCCUGCUCCCUGUUGGAUCAUUGGCUUCUACCAAGUGCUUUCCUGGUUCUGGACCUGCUUUUUCCUCAACCACGUGUCCUGCUUGCUUCUUCAAGGUGUGUCAACCGCAGAGCUCAGAGAAGGUGAGCUGAAUGAGGACAGGUUCAUGUUAAAUUGCAACAGGCAGACAAGAUCCAUUGCCAUGGAACGUUGACUGCUGUGGAAACACUGGGACUAUUUUUUAAAAAACUGUACACAUAAAUGAUUGUAAAACAAUAAAAAUGAUCUUUUAAUAAAGUUUUUUUGCCAA
Notolabrus celidotus (New Zealand spotty) is the source of this 832-nucleotide long non-coding RNA. RefSeq lists it as uncharacterized. Lineage: Eukaryota; Metazoa; Chordata; Actinopteri; Labriformes; Labridae. The record is from RefSeq and is a predicted model, not a curated record. The transcript is spliced from 2 exons.